This is a long non-coding RNA of Pogona vitticeps (central bearded dragon), 519 nucleotides long. RefSeq lists it as uncharacterized. The record is from RefSeq and is a predicted model, not a curated record. NCBI's taxonomy places the organism in Eukaryota, Metazoa, Chordata, Lepidosauria, Squamata, Agamidae.
AAUAACACGUGUCCUUUCUUCCCUCUCUAUGCAGGUCGGUUCUGCCACGUGUGUACAAUGAAGACCGGGGGCAAAACUACUCGGCCUGAAAGCGAUGGGGUCACCUGAAAUGCAUAGAGGUGUUAAAAGCUUCAGGGAAAUAUUUUUAAAAAGCUCAUAGGGAAGAAACGGGACCAUGAAGGACUGGUGAGAGCAAGAUGAUUGGGUUAGAAAAACUGGACCAUUUCUUCAAAAUGUUUCCAAGAAGCAUGGAUGUAAAGGAUUCUUUUGGCUCAUUCUGAGGGCUUGAAAGUAGAUCACAAAAGCCUUUUGCCAUUAGGAGUGGAAAAGCUGGCUGAUCCUUGCACCAUGCUUGCUUGCAUGCACUAUUAAGGUUCGAGGAUUCUGGGGUGCUGUUUGAUGGUUGGUCUGAAAUACAAGGUGUCCAAAAGAACAACUACAUUAUUUUGUUUAAAAAACCCGCAAUGCCUAAUAAGUUCUCUAUUUGCAUCCUAAUAAAAAGCAGAUGUAGCAACACGA